RNAcentral lists this unclassified non-coding RNA (1419 nucleotides) under Hevea brasiliensis (rubber tree). The record is from RNAcentral. Lineage: Eukaryota; Viridiplantae; Streptophyta; Magnoliopsida; Malpighiales; Euphorbiaceae.
AGUUCCUAAUGUUGUUUCGUAUAAUAAUUUGAUCAAUGCACAUUGUGAUGAGGGGAGAGUCGAUACGGCACUUGAAAUCUAUAGGCAUAUAAUUGCAAAUGCUCCGUUUAGUCCAUCGCAUGUAACUUAUAAGCAUUUGACUAAAGGGUUGAUUGAUGCUGGGAGGGUUGAUGAAGCAGUGGAUUUGUUGAGAGAGAUGUUGAACAAAGGUCACGGGGCAGAUUCUUUGGUCUUUAACAAUAUAAUUAAAGCGUUUCUUGACUUGGGAAAUUUGGAGAAGGCAAAUGAGUUUUUCAAUGAGUUGACUGAGAGAUGUUUGUGGUAUGAUGGCACAGUUAAUGCAACAUUUAUGGAUUGGUGGUUUAAGCAAGGGAAGGAUAAGGAGGCUAUGGAGAAUUAUAAGUCAUUUAUGGAUAGGAAAUUGAAGAUUGCACCUCCAACUGGAAAUGCCCUCUUGGAGGUUCUGCUUAGGUAUGGGAAAAAAGAGGCGGCUAUAGCUUUAUUUGAGUUAAUGUUAGAUAACCAUACCCCACCAACCAACCAAGGUGUUAAUUCGGAAACUUUUAAUAUCAUGGUGAAUGAGUGUUUUAAAGAACAGGAGUUUGCUCAGGCAGUGGACAUGUUUAGGAAGGCAGGGACAAAGCCUGGGUCAAAACCUUUUCAAAUGGAUGUUGCAGGGUAUAAUAACAUUAUAAUAAGGUUUUGUGAGAAUGAGAUGUUAUUAGAGGCUGAGAAAUUCUUCACAGAACUAUCAUCCAAGUCUUUGUCCCCUGAUGUCACAAGUUAUAGAAUGCUGAUCGAUGCUUAUCUGAAGGUUGAGAGAAUUGACGAUGCUUUAAGGUUGUUAACUAAGAUGGUACAGGAAAAUUUGUGGGUGGUGGCAACUUACGCGACAAGGGUGUUUAGUGAGUUGAUUAAGAAUGGAAAGGCAGUUGAGUGUGCACAGAUUUUGACUAAAAUGGGAGAGCGAGAUCUAAAACCAGACCCCUCUGUUUAUGAUGUUGUGGUGAGAGGACUAUGUGAAGCAGGUGCAUUUGACAUGAGCACAAAUAUACUGGAGCAAAUGAUGAGAUACUGUGUUGGUGUUCCUCCCACGUUAAAAGAAUUUGUAACUGAGGCAUAUACCAGUGCUGGACAUAAUCAAGAAAUUCAGAGAGUUUUUGAUGAAAAUAGGUGGAGGAACAUGUCUAGACCCCCUCAUGUGCAAAGACAACCUCGAAUGCCAUGGGGUUCUCAAAUGGCAAGAGAGCAGCAAUCUUCAUUGCCUGCACGAGCACCAUCAGGUCAACCUCAGAUGGCAAGACAGCAACCAUUUGGUCGCCAGCAAAUGGAAGGUCAAAUGGUAUCAGGAUCACCUCAAGCGCCAUCAACACAACCAUUAGGUUCCCAUAAUACUGCAGGACAGCAGCCAUCAUGGUC